UGGGGAAUCUUGCACAAUGGGCGAAAGCCUGAUGCAGCGACGCCGCGUGGGGGAUGAAGCAUCUCGGUGUGUAAACCCCUUUCGAUUCGGACGAAUGCCCGCAAGGGAGUGACGGUACGGAUAUAAGAAGCCCCGGCUAACUACGUGCCAGCAGCCGCGGUAAGACGUAGGGGGCCAGCGUUGUUCGGAAUUACUGGGUGUAAAGGGUUCGUAGGCGGUGCGGCAAGUUGGGAGUGAAAUCUCUGGGCUUAACCCAGAGGCUGCUUCCAAAUCUGUUGUGCUCGAGUGUGGGAGAGGCGCGUGGAAUUGCAUGUGUAGCGGUGAAAUGCGUAGAUAUCUGCAGGAACACCCGUGGCGAAAGCGGCGCGCUGGACCACUACUGACGCUGAGGAACGAAAGCCAGGGGAGCAAACAGG
Molecule: ribosomal RNA, 416 nt
Filed under: Bacillota bacterium
Lineage: Bacteria; Bacillati; Bacillota
Description: Firmicutes bacterium partial 16S ribosomal RNA
Rfam family: Bacterial small subunit ribosomal RNA
Source: RNAcentral